RNAcentral lists this ribosomal RNA (254 nucleotides) under uncultured Loriellopsis sp. RNAcentral describes it as "partial 16S ribosomal RNA". It matches the Rfam family "Bacterial small subunit ribosomal RNA", at positions 524 to 776 of the family's 1533-position model. Lineage: Bacteria; Bacillati; Cyanobacteriota; Cyanophyceae; Nostocales; Symphyonemataceae. The record is from RNAcentral.
UACGGGGGGUGCAAGCGUUGUCCGGAAUGAUUGGGCGUAAAGCAUCUGUAGGUGGUUUCUAAAGUCGACUGUUAAAGCCCAGGGCUCAACUUUGGAAAAGCGGUCGAGUACUUAAGAACUUGAGUUUGGUAGGGGUAGAGGGAAUUCCUUGUGGAGCGGUGAAAUGCACAGAGAUAAGGAAGAACACCGAUGGCGAAAGCACUCUACUGGGCCAAGACUGACACUGAGAGAUGAAAGUCGGGGGAGCGAAAGGG